AGCCUAUCCUAGCCUCACCUACUAUAUAACCAAAAACCCACUAUCCCACCCAACUAAAACAUUCCCCCCAANNCUUAGUAUAGGCGAUAGAAAAGUACACCNAGAGCGCCAUAGAGAGAGUACCGUAAGGGAAAAGAUGAAAUAGCAAUGAAAACCAAGCACUACACAGCAAAGACAAACCCUUGUACCUUUUGCAUCAUGAUCUAGCAAGAACAAACAGGCAAAACGAACUUAAGCCCGCUACCCCGAAACCCAAGCGAGCUACUCACAAGCAGCUACCAUGAGCAAACCCGUCUCUGUUGCAAAAGAGUGGGAUGACUUGUUAGUAGAGGUGAAAAGCCAACCGAGCUGGGUGAUAGCUGGUUGCCAGCGAAACGAAUUUAAGUUCUCCCUUAACCCCUCCUCCAGGGCAACAAAUCCAAACCUCCAUGCAGUGGAUUAAGAGCUACCUAAAGGGGGUACAGCCCCUUUAAAAAAGGAUACACCCUCCAUUAGCGGAUAACCCCCACCCACCUACAACCUGNNNUGGGCCUUAAAGCAGCCACCCCAAAAGAAUGCGUCAAAGCUCCAAACCAAAAAUUCAGAAACAACACGACUCCCUAUAUCUUUAGCCGGCUAACCUAUAACAAUAGAUGAAUCAAUGCUAGAACGAGUAACCAGGACACCUUCCCCUCAAGCGCUAGCGUAUAUACCAUUAACAGNNNCCUAACAUCAAUGUUCAAUCCNNNNCNNCACAAGACCAAACAUUGAACAUACCCUGUUAACCCAACCCAGGAGCGCACNNNACUAGGAUGAUUAAAAUCUACAAAAGGAACUCGGCAAACCCAGGGCCCGACUGUUUACCAAAAACAUAGCCUUCAGCCAAACAAGUAUUGAAGGUGAUGCCUGCCCAGUGACAUCACCAUGUUUAACGGCCGCGGUAUCCUAACCGUGCAAAGGUAGCGCAAUCAAUUGUCCCAUAAAUCGAGACUUGUAUGAAUGGCUAAACGAGGUCCUAACUGUCUCCUGUAGAUAAUCAGUGAAACUGAUCCCCCCGUGCAAAAGCGGGGAUAAGCACACAAGACGAGAAGACCCUGUGGAACUUCAAAAUCAAUAGCCACUACACCCAACCCAAAANNNCCUAUCAGGCCCACUACUNNNCAAAAAACUGGCUAACAUUUUUAGAUUGGGGCGAUCUUGGAGAAAAACAAACCCUCCAAAAAUAGGACCAACACCCCUAGUCAAGAACAACCAUUCAACACGCUAACAGCACCCAGACCCAAUAAAAUUGACCAAUGAACCAAGCUACCCCAGGGAUAACAGCGCAAUCUCCCCCAAGAGCCCCUAUCGACGAGGAGGUUUACGACCUCGAUGUUGGAUCAGGACAUCCUAGUGGUGUAGCCGCUACCAAGGGUUCGUUUGUUCAACGAUUAACAGUCCUACGUGAUCUGAGUUCAGACCGGAGCAAUCCAGGUCGGUUUCUAUCUAUGACCAACCCUUCCCAGUACGAAAGGACCGGAAAGGUAGGGCCAAUACCCCAAGCACGCCCUCACCUCAAGUGAUGACCCCAACUAAAUCACUAAAGGCCCACACUCACUUGNCCUCUAGAAAAGAGCC
Molecule: ribosomal RNA, 1596 nt
Filed under: Zanda baudinii
Lineage: Eukaryota; Metazoa; Chordata; Aves; Psittaciformes; Cacatuidae
Description: Calyptorhynchus baudinii 16S ribosomal RNA
Rfam family: Bacterial large subunit ribosomal RNA (bases 129-1484)
Source: RNAcentral